GACGAACGCUGGCGGCGUGCUUAACACAUGCAAGUCGAACGAUGACCUCGCGCCUGCGGGGGUGCUUAGUGGCGAACGGGUGAGUAAUACGUGGGUAACCUGCAGUUGACUCUGGGAUAAGCCUUGGAAACCGGGUCUAAUACUGGAUACUACUUCCUGCCGCAUGGUGGGGGGUGGAAAGGGUUUUACUGGUUUUGGAUGGGCUCACGGCCUAUGAGCUUGUUGGUGGAGUAAUGGCUCACCAAGGCGACGACGAGUAGCCGUCCUGGGAGGGUGACCGGCCACACUGGGACUGAGACACGGCCCAGACUCCUACGGGAGGCAGCAGUGGGGAAGAUUGCACAAUGGGCGGAGGCCUGAUGCAGCGACGCCGCGUGAGGGAUGACGGCCUUCGGGUUGUAAACCUCUUUCAGCAGGGAAGAAGCCACAAGUGACGGUACCUGCAGAAGAAGCGCCGGCUAACUACGUG
This 469-nucleotide ribosomal RNA is filed under the name uncultured bacterium. Its description in RNAcentral is "partial 16S ribosomal RNA". It matches the Rfam family "Bacterial small subunit ribosomal RNA", at positions 28 to 507 of the family's 1533-position model. The record is from RNAcentral.